Molecule: long non-coding RNA, 232 nt
Filed under: Prunus dulcis (almond)
Lineage: Eukaryota; Viridiplantae; Streptophyta; Magnoliopsida; Rosales; Rosaceae
Description: sRNA ncRNA
Source: RNAcentral
UCUCUCCUCAAUUUGCCUUCUCUCUCCCAACUCGAUCUUGUACGUAUUGCUUGGAGACGUCAGUCGGUCUUGGGGCAACUAUUGGAACAUAGCUCUCGGCUUGCUAGCUUAUACCUUGUGCAUUUGUUAGGGUUGGGGCAGUCUUGGGAGGCUGUGUUGUCAUUCAGUUACAGGGUGUGGUGGCUAGCUGGGGUUGGGUGGGGACUGCUCUUGACUGUUGGCGAGUUGGGGG